GUACAGAUUUUCAAGGAGCAGGCACAGAGGCGGAAUACUUCAUUCCGGUAAUCAAGUGUCUCGCACCACGGGCCACUGAACGGCUUCCCCAAAGCCCCUUGAGAUAUCAGAAGUGUAUUUUCUUUCCUUGGCCAAAUGGCUUAUUAAUAGAAUUGGCUUAUUUAUAUCUCACCCAGAAAAAAAAAAUCCCAAAGUGAUACAGCAACUGGGAGAUAUCGAGCCAAUUAGUUGUUGGGCUUGUUGUCAUGUGUGUGUGUAUGUGUGUGUGGGGAGAAUCGAGUUAUUAAUUUUCUACCCUUCACUAGUGGCGGAAUCGAUGCGGAGGAAACCGGAAAGAAUGAAGAGAAGCACGCGUCUCAGCCCACCUGAGAAAACUCAGGGAGCAGGUGAAAAACCUCCACAGCUGCGGCCAAGCCAUCCAAUCAGAGGACAGUGGGAAGCCCAGGGCCUGCUCUGUGGUGGGCCAGAGGUCAACCUCCAUUGUCUAGUUUCCUAAGGGCUUAACUCUUAGACAUCAACUUUCAUAUCCAUUGCCAGAUGGAGAAUCUCAUUUCUUCUCGCCUGCAGAUGCUUGUCCAGCGUCAAGUUCACAGCAAGUGAGGGGCAGGUGUCAGUUGUGUGGAACAAGUAUGAAUAUUAAUGAAUGCUGACGUGUACUCCCUCAGCAUCUGCUUGCUGCAAGAGGAAGGUUCCAUGUCUGGGCAGGACUGGCAGUAUUAAGUCCUUUUAGAACUAAGGCAAGGCAGCAUGGUGCAGUGGAAAAGGCAUGGACUCUGAACUCUGGAAUUGGACUUCCACUUGGAAAUCUUAAAUAAAUCUUUAAUUUUUCCGAAAUUCAGACUGAAAAAGAAAAAAAAA
Long non-coding RNA from Dipodomys ordii (Ord's kangaroo rat), 858 nucleotides. RefSeq lists it as uncharacterized. The record is from RefSeq and is a predicted model, not a curated record. Lineage: Eukaryota; Metazoa; Chordata; Mammalia; Rodentia; Heteromyidae. The transcript has 3 exons.